RNAcentral lists this ribosomal RNA (456 nucleotides) under uncultured bacterium. RNAcentral describes it as "bacterial SSU rRNA". It matches the Rfam family "Bacterial small subunit ribosomal RNA", at positions 340 to 786 of the family's 1533-position model. The record is from RNAcentral.
UACGGGAGGCAGCAGUGGGGAAUAUUGCACAAUGGGCGAAAGCCUGAUGCAGCUAUGCCGCGUGUAUGAAGAAGGCCUUAGGGUUGUAAAGUACUUUCAUCGGGGAGGAAAAAACAAAACUAAUAAUUUUAUUUCUUGACGUUACCCGAAAAAGAAGCACCGGCUAACUCCGUGCCAGCAGCCGCGGUAAUACGGAGGGUGCUAGCGUUAAUCAGAAUUACUGGGCGUAAAGAGCACGUAGGUGGUUUUUUUAAGUCAGAUGUGAAAUCCCUGGGCUUAACCUGGAACUGCAUUUUGAAACUGAAAUACUAGAGUAUCGUAGAGGGAGGUAGAAUUCUAGGUGUAGCGGUGAAAUGCGUAGAUAUCUGGAGGAAUACCUGUGGCGAAAGCGGCCUCUAAACGAAUACUGACACUGAGGUGCGAAAGCGUGGGGAGCGAAACAGGGAUUAGGAUACC